UACUCAUACACCACUUUUAGUUAGGGGAAAAAACCUCUAAGAAUAUUAAAAUGACAUCUUUGUCUUUCUUAGUGCAGCAGCUGAGACUUAAUAUUUACCAAAACAAAAGAGAAGCAUAGAGGAAGAUAGAAUGGCUUCGUGCCCCGAUCCCCUGAUCCUCCAACCUGACAGCAGUGUUUGCAAAGCCAUGCGGUGUGAAUCACCGAGUGGGCUGUGUUCUGGGCCCGACUCUGUCAUUAACUGGCACAGUGACCAGGUAAGCAUCCUCCCCUUGCUAGACCUCAGUUUAUACAGCCACUCAGUGUAGGGUUUGGCCUGUAUCCGUGGUGUCCAAAUUCUUUUUAAGUUGAACCUGUUUUUCAAAUAGAAUCUUAACUUCUAAAAACCAGAGUGCUCCAACUGACCUGUGAGUAGAAGAACUAAUACUCUCUCCAU
Long non-coding RNA from Bos indicus x Bos taurus (hybrid cattle), 435 nucleotides. The record is from Ensembl. Lineage: Eukaryota; Metazoa; Chordata; Mammalia; Artiodactyla; Bovidae.